CCUACGGGGUGCAGCAGUGGGGAAUAUUGCGCAAUGGGCGAAAGCCUGACGCAGCGACGCCGCGUGAGGGAUGAAGGUCUUCGGAUCGUAAACCUCUGUCAGCAGGGAAGAACGGUCACUGUGCUAAUCAGCAGUGAAUUGACGGUACCUGCAAAGGAAGCACCGGCUAACUCCGUGCCAGCAGCCGCGGUAAUCGGGGGGGCGCGAGCGUUAAUCGGAAUUACUGGGCGUAAAGCGCUCGUAGGCGGUAGGUCAAGUCAAGGGUGAAAUCCCCGCGGUCAAGGUGGGAACUGCCUUUGAAACUGGCGAAGUGGAGGGUGUGAGAGGAUAGUGGAAGUGGAGGUGUAGGAGUGAA
This 355-nucleotide ribosomal RNA is filed under the name uncultured bacterium. RNAcentral's name for it is "partial 16S ribosomal RNA". It matches the Rfam family "Bacterial small subunit ribosomal RNA", at positions 338 to 685 of the family's 1533-position model. The record is from RNAcentral.